UCGGGAUUAGUGGCGGACGGGUGAGUAACACGUGGGAACGUGCCUUUUGGUUCGGAACAACUCAGGGAAACUUGAGCUAAUACCGGAUAAGCCUUUCGAGGGAAAGAUUUAUCGCCAUUAGAGCGGCCCGCGUAGGAUUAGCUAGUUGGUGGGGUAAAGGCCCACCAAGGCUACGAUCCUUAGCUGGUCUGAGAGGAUGAUCAGCCACAUUGGGACUGAGACACGGCCCAAACUCCUACGGGAGGCAGCAGUGGGGAAUCUUGCGCAAUGGGCGAAAGCCUGACGCAGCCAUGCCGCGUGAAUGAUGAAGGUCUUAGGAUUGUAAAAUUCUUUCACCGGGGACGAUAAUGACGGUACCCGGAGAAGAAGCCCCGGCUAACUUCGUGCCAGCAGCCGCGGUAAUACGAAGGGGGCUAGCGUUGCUCGGAAUUACUGGGCGUAAAGGGAGCGUAGGCGGAUAGUUUAGUCAGAGGUGAAAGCCCAGGGCUCAACCUUGGAAUUGCCUUUGAUACUGGCUAUCUUGAGUACGGAAGAGGUAUGUGGAACUCCGAGUGUAGAGGUGAAAUUCGUAGAUAUUCGGAAGAACACCAGUGGCGAAGGCGACAUACUGGUCCGUUACUGACGCUGAGGCUCGAAAGCGUGGGGAGCAAACAGGAUUAGAUACCCUGGUAGUCCACGCUGUAAACGAUGAGUGCUAGUUGUCGGCAGGCAUGCCUGUCGGUGACGCAGCUAACGCAUUAAGCACUCCGCCUGGGGAGUACGGUCGCAAG
This 770-nucleotide ribosomal RNA is filed under the name Caulobacter henricii. Its description in RNAcentral is "bacterial SSU rRNA". It matches the Rfam family "Bacterial small subunit ribosomal RNA", at positions 86 to 892 of the family's 1533-position model. The record is from RNAcentral. Lineage: Bacteria; Pseudomonadati; Pseudomonadota; Alphaproteobacteria; Caulobacterales; Caulobacteraceae.